UGGCGGACGGGUGAGUAAUGUCUGGGAAACUGCCUGAUGGAGGGGGAUAACUACUGGAAACGGUAGCUAAUACCGCAUAACGUCGCAAGACCAAGAGGGGACCUUAGGGCCUCUUGCCAUCGGAUGUGCCCAGAUGGGAUUAGCUAGUAGGUGGGGUAAAGGCUCACCUAGGCGACGAUCCCUAGCUGGUCUGAGAGGAUGACCAGCCACACUGGAACUGAGACACGGUCCAG
RNAcentral lists this ribosomal RNA (233 nucleotides) under uncultured bacterium. RNAcentral describes it as "partial 16S ribosomal RNA". It matches the Rfam family "Bacterial small subunit ribosomal RNA", at positions 96 to 334 of the family's 1533-position model. The record is from RNAcentral.